This 363-nucleotide ribosomal RNA is filed under the name Triticum aestivum (bread wheat). RNAcentral describes it as "partial small subunit ribosomal RNA". Lineage: Eukaryota; Viridiplantae; Streptophyta; Magnoliopsida; Poales; Poaceae. The record is from RNAcentral.
AUGAGUGAAUUCGGCAGCAGGUUCUUCAGAGCGCCUCCCGGCAAGGGAAACAACCAAUCGCCCUCCUGCAACCAAUUCUUUGGCUCUCAGCUCAAGAAAAAGCUUGAAAUCUUUCCUGAACUGCCGCGCAUAGGCUCCGAUGACCACACGCCGUCUUCCUCGCCUCACGUGCUCAUCGAUGUCGUAUGCCGGGAUCUUGUUCCUCCUCAGUUCUUCAGGAGCCUGGAGUCACCUCCAAAGUUAAACUUACUGCACAAAAAGAAACAAGUCGAGCCGUGUAAAUUUCAUACCUCGGAGAGCCAGUGCAGGCUGUUGGCCGAGCAGGCGAGAUGCAAGGAGCCAGUGGUGAAGAGCCUCCCGUAG